AGCAGCGGAGCGGAGACACCGACAGGAGACCGACAGGAGACCGACAGGAGACCGGCGUCUGUGUGACUCUACCCGAUAUUAAAUGUUGCUUCCUGCCCGCUGCUCAUCGUCGUUUGAGGAGGAGCAUGGCGGGGGAGGCGGCGCCACCUGAGCCGUUCGCCUUCCGGUGUCGACAAGGCUGCAUGUGAGAACAUCUGGAUCUUGAGGUGUUUUCAUCAUGGCGGUCUUCUGGAGGCCGUCACCUGUCGACAUACAGGAGAACUGACUUUCUGUCGUCUCGUGGCGGCGCACGAUGUCCUUGGACGCUGCUGUGAACAGUGACGAUGGCCGCCGGUGGAACUGGCUGGAUGUGAGAACAUCUGGAUCUUGAGGUGUUUUCAUCAUGGCGGUCUUCUGGAGGCCGUCACCUGUGGAAGUACAGGAGGGUGGACGUUAUCGCUGGCAGUGCUUUCCUCACUUCUGUCCAUCCAAAGGAACCGCUGAUGUCUGGUCGACCACGAUCGAGGAGCUGCCGUCGAUCCAGAAGGAUCGUUCUUAUCCAGACGCAUCGUGUAAAAUGUUCCACUGACGCUGAAUACAGAAUGAAAUAAAGGCAUCAGUGUGAA
This is a long non-coding RNA of Morone saxatilis (striped sea-bass), 605 nucleotides long. RefSeq lists it as uncharacterized. The record is from RefSeq and is a predicted model, not a curated record. The transcript is spliced from 7 exons. NCBI's taxonomy places the organism in Eukaryota, Metazoa, Chordata, Actinopteri, Moronidae.